Molecule: ribosomal RNA, 505 nt
Filed under: uncultured bacterium
Lineage: Bacteria
Description: partial 16S ribosomal RNA
Rfam family: Bacterial small subunit ribosomal RNA
Source: RNAcentral
GACGAACGCUGGCGGCGUGCCUAAUACAUGCAAGUGGGACGCAAGGAAACACACUGUGCUUGCACACCGUGUUUUCUUGAGUCGCGAACGGGUGAGUAACGCGUAGGUAACCUGCCUAUUAGCGGGGGAUAACUAUUGGAAACGAUAGCUAAUACCGCAUAAUAUUAAUUAUUGCAUGAUAAUUGAUUGAAAGAUGCAAGCGCAUCACUAGUAGAUGGACCUGCGUUGUAUUAGCUAGUUGGUAAGGUAAGAGCUUACCAAGGCGACGAUACAUAGCCGACCUGAGAGGGGGAUCGGCCACACUGGGACUGAGACACGGCCCAGACUCCUACGGGAGGCAGCAGUAGGGAAUCUUCGGCAAUAGACGAAAGUCUGACCGAGCAACGCCGCGGGAGUGAAGAAGGUUUUCGGAUCGUAAAGCUCUGUUGUAAGUCAAGAACGUGUGUGAGAGUGGAAAGUUCACACAGUGACGGUAGCUUACCAGAAAGGGACGGCUAACUACGUG